GCCCAGACUCCUACGGGAGGCAGCAGUGGGGAAUAUUGCACAAUGGGGGAAACCCUGAUGCAGCGACGCCGCGUGAGCGAUGAAGUAUUUCGGUACGUAAAGCUCUAUCAGCAGGGAAGAAAAUGACGGUACCUGACUAAGAAGCCCCGGCUAACUACGUGCCAGCAGCCGCGGUAAUACGUAGGGGGCAAGCGUUAUCCGGAUUUACUGGGUGUAAAGGGAGCGUAGACGGUUAAGCAAGUCUGGAGUGAAAGGCGGGGGCCCAACCCCCGGACUGCUCUGGAAACUGUGUAACUAGAGUGCAGGAGAGGUAAGCGGAAUUCCUAGUGUAGCGGUGAAAUGCGUAGAUAUUAGGAGGAACACCAGUGGCGAAGGCGGCCUGCUGGACUGUAACUGACGUUGAGGCUCGAAAGCGUGGGGAGCAAACAGGAUUAGAUACCCUAGUAUA
Molecule: ribosomal RNA, 448 nt
Filed under: uncultured bacterium
Lineage: Bacteria
Description: bacterial SSU rRNA
Rfam family: Bacterial small subunit ribosomal RNA
Source: RNAcentral